Molecule: ribosomal RNA, 84 nt
Filed under: Mannheimia haemolytica
Lineage: Bacteria; Pseudomonadati; Pseudomonadota; Gammaproteobacteria; Pasteurellales; Pasteurellaceae
Source: RNAcentral
CCCGACGACAAGAGUGCUGUGGUCCUACCUGACCCCAUACCGAACUCAGAAGUAAAACGCAGUAACGUCGAUGGUAGUGUGGUG